RNAcentral lists this ribosomal RNA (460 nucleotides) under uncultured bacterium. RNAcentral describes it as "partial 16S ribosomal RNA". It matches the Rfam family "Bacterial small subunit ribosomal RNA", at positions 338 to 795 of the family's 1533-position model. The record is from RNAcentral.
CCUACGGGGUGCAGCAGUGAGGAAUAUUGGUCAAUGGGCGCGAGCCUGAACCAGCCAAGUCGCGUGAAGGAUGACUGCCCUACGGGUUGUAAACUUCUUUUAUAAGGGAAUAAAGUGAGGCACGUGUGCCUUUUUGUAUGUACUUUAUGAAUAAGCAUCGGCUAACUCCGUGCCAGCAGCCGCGGUAAUACGGAGGAUCCGAGCGUUAUCCGGAUUUAUUGGGUUUAAAGGUAGCGUAGAUGGGUUGUUAAGUCAGUGGUGAAAGUUUGCGGCUCAACCGUAAAAUUGCAAUUGAUGUUGGCAGUGUGGAGUACGGUUGAGGUAGGCGGAAUUCGUGGUGUAGCGGUGAAAUGCUUAGAUAUCGCGAAGAACUCCGAUUGCGAAGGCAGCUUACUAGACUGCCACUGACAUUGAUGCUCGAAAGUGUGGGUAUCAAACAGGAUUAGAUACCCUUGUAGUA